RNAcentral lists this ribosomal RNA (406 nucleotides) under uncultured bacterium. RNAcentral describes it as "partial 16S ribosomal RNA". It matches the Rfam family "Bacterial small subunit ribosomal RNA", at positions 30 to 526 of the family's 1533-position model. The record is from RNAcentral.
AUUGAACGCUGGCGGCAGGCCUAACACAUGCAAGUCGAACGAGUGGCGGACGGGUGAGUAAUGUCUGGGAAACUGCCUGAUGGAGGGGGAUAACUACUGGAAACGGUAGCUAAUACCGCAUACCAUCGGAUGUGCCCAGAUGGGAUUAGCUAGUAGGUGGGGUAAAGGCUCACCAAGGCGACGAUCCCUAGCUGGUCUGAGAGGGUGACCAGACGCACUGGAACUGGGACACGGUCCAGACUCCUGCGGGAGACAGCAGUGGGAAAUAAUGGACAAUGGGCGCAAGCCUGAUGCAGCCAUGCCGCGUGUAUGAAGAAGGCCUUCGGGUUGUAAAGUACUUUCGGCGGGGAGGCGUUACCCGCAGAAGAAGCACCGGCUAACUCCGUGCCAGCAGCCGCGGUAAUAC